AGCUCCAAUAGCGUAUAUUAAAGUUGUUGCAGUUAAAAAGCUCGUAGUUGGAUUUCGGAGUGGGCCAGUUGGUCCGCCGCAAGGUGUGUUACUGACUGGUUUGCUCUUCUUCGCAAAGACUGCGUGUGCUCUUUAUUGAGUGUGCGUAGGAUUUACGACGUUUACUUUGAAAAAAUUAGAGUGUUCAAAGCAGGCUAUUGCUUGAAUACAUGAGCAUGGAAUAAUGGAAUAGGAUUUUGGUCCCAUUUUGUUGGUUUCUAGGACCGAAGUAAUGAUUAAGAGGGACAAUUGGGGGCAUCCGUAUUUCGUUGUCAGAGGUGAAAUUCUUGGAUUUACGAAAGACGAACAACUGCGAAAGCACUUGCCAAGAGUGUUUUCAUUAAUCAAGAACGAAAGUACG
Molecule: ribosomal RNA, 400 nt
Filed under: phytoplankton environmental sample
Lineage: Eukaryota
Description: partial small subunit ribosomal RNA
Rfam family: Eukaryotic small subunit ribosomal RNA
Source: RNAcentral